Molecule: ribosomal RNA, 119 nt
Filed under: Oncorhynchus kisutch (coho salmon)
Lineage: Eukaryota; Metazoa; Chordata; Actinopteri; Salmoniformes; Salmonidae
Source: RNAcentral
GCUUAUGGCCAUACCAGCCUGAAUACGCCCGAUCUCGUCCGAUCUCGGAAGCUAAGCAGGGUCGGGCCUGGUUAGUACUUGGAUGGGAGACCGCCUGGGAAUACCAGGUGCUGUAAGCA